AAUCCCCGCAGGCGCUGGGUCUGCAGAUGGCGUCCAGGUACACAGUGGCGAGUGUGAUUCCGCAGUCUUGGGCUGUUUGGCCAAGCGCCCGCCGGACAUGGUACGCCGAAGGGUCAUCGGCGUGGAGUCCUCGCUUUCAGCGUCCGCGGCUGGGAAAUCGGCCAUCGCUACGGCGGGAACUGGGACUCGGGCUGCGUCCCGGCCCUUCCACAUCGGUCCACCGCACUCGUGGGCGCCCGCAUUGGUGCUGACAUAAUUUCCUGACCUCUGACCCGUAUUGUCUCGCGAUUAAAGGUCCAGAUUUGGAACAAAUCUCUCUAGAGAUUGAACAGAGCUGCGCCUGGAUCCCUCAGCAGUGAGGAGACCUGAAGACCAGAGGAAACACAGCAAACGGAGCCUUGCUCUGUUGCCCAGGCUGGUGUGUAGUGAUCUCAGCUCACUGCAAGCUCCACCUUCCGGGUUCACACCAUUCUCCCACCUCAACCCCCGGAGUAGCUGGAACUACAGCCUCCUGCCACCACGCCUGGCUAAUUUUUUUUUUGUAUUUUUAGUAGAGACGGGGUUUCACCAUGUUAGCUAGGAUGGUCUCGAUCUGCUGACCUCGUGAUCCACCCGCCUCGGCCUCUCAAAGUGCUGGGAUUAAAGGCGUAAGCCACUGCGCCUGGCUGUUUUUUCAUUUCUAUUAUGAUUUGUCCUGUGGAAUGUCAGUGACUUAGCGGUAUUUUUAUCACACGUUUAUAAAGCUGAAUAGUUUUGUAUGUCAGCUCAGCACCCUUAGUGUCAGCCAUGCUAGUCUCCUGCUGUGCAUAGAUCGAGGCCUGUCCAUACCCGAAUCUCCUGGGUUCCCACUGUCAGCACCUGAAGGUACCCACCAGAUGUGUCUGUCACUUCCCUACAUCCACCUCUAUUGUGGUUCUCAUGUUUCUGCCUCCCUAGAGACCAUUUCUCUGUAGAGCAGCGCUUUCGAAUAGAAAUACAAUGCCAGACACAUAAGUUGUUUUAGAUUUUCUAGUAGUCACUUUAGAAAAGUUAAAAAGAAACAGGUGAAAUUAAUGUUUUAUUUCACCUAAAAUGUUAGCAUUAUCCAAAAUAUCACUUCAACAUCUUAUCAAAAUAAAAUUAUUAAUGAGAUUGGUUACCGUUCCGAUAAAUAGGUGAACUGAGAGCAUACACAGUAGUAUUCUGUUCUAAUUUCUGCUUCACUGUGAGUGUCUUGACAUAGUCUUAAAAGAGUAUUGCUGUGAAAUAUUAUACAUGUAACUCAUAACCUCUACAAUUCUGCAGUUGUAAUUGGUUGUCUUACCUAAUAAUCAGUUGCUUUGCUUCAUAAUAUUUAAAUUGGCAUCUCUAUUUUCCAAAAGGCAUAAAUACUAGUAUAGUUUUUUAGUUAAGCCAGGAGAAAGUUCACUUUAUUUACAUAACUUAUACGUAAAAAUUUAAUAAAUCUCCCUGCUUCUUUUCUUUUGCAUCAUAACAACCACUGAAAAUAAUAUUUCUAUGGCAGUUGGGGGUAAAUGGACAAUAGCUUUUGUGACCAGAGGUGAAUGGCCCAGGGUCUCCAGCACUCCAGGUCCCACUGAGCCUGCCCCACAGCUGAGGGCAUCGGUAUUUCCACACACCUAUAAUGUACAGUGCCCCAGAACAGAGAUCGGAUGCUCUGCUUUAUUCAGAUGGGGUGUUGAGAGUAUUGUCAUUGUAAUUGAAUUAGUAAGUAAGUAUUUAUACACUGUUAAAAUCUGGUUGGAUUUGUGUCCCUUCACAAAACAAAUUGCUUAAAUGAAACCACAGAGUUAACAUAAUUGACUACAUCUGCUUCUAUGAGCUGC
This 1826-nucleotide long non-coding RNA is filed under the name Homo sapiens (human). RNAcentral's name for it is "PREDICTED lncRNA (TCONS_00132722)". Lineage: Eukaryota; Metazoa; Chordata; Mammalia; Primates; Hominidae. The record is from RNAcentral.